CCAACGGCUCUUAUCAGAGCCACCGAUAUUGUCAUUAAAGAUCAAU
Non-coding RNA from Anopheles epiroticus, 46 nucleotides. Lineage: Eukaryota; Metazoa; Arthropoda; Insecta; Diptera; Culicidae. The record is from Rfam.